Molecule: ribosomal RNA, 497 nt
Filed under: uncultured bacterium
Lineage: Bacteria
Description: partial 16S ribosomal RNA
Rfam family: Bacterial small subunit ribosomal RNA
Source: RNAcentral
GAUGAACGCUGGCGGCGUGCCUAAUACAUGCAAGUCGAGCGAACAGACGAGGAGCUUGCUCCUCUGACGGUAGCGGCGGACGGGUGAGUAACACGUGGAUAACCUACCUAUAAGACUGGGAUAACUUCGGGAAACAGGAGCUAAUACCGGAUAAUAUAUUGAACCGCAUGGUUCAAUAGUGAAAGACGGUUUUGCUGUCACUUAUAGAUGGAUCCGCGCCGCAUUAGCUAGUUGGUAAGGUAACGGCUUACCAAGGCAACGAUGCGUAGCCGACCUGAGAGGGUGAUCGGCCACACUGGAACUGAGACACGGUCCAGACUCCUACGGGAGGCAGCAGUAGGGAAUCUUCCGCAAUGGGCGAAAGCCUGACGGAGCAACGCCGCGUGAGUGAUGAAGGUCUUCGGAUCGUAAAACUCUGUUAUUAGGGAAGAACAAAUGUGUAAGUAACUAUGCACGUCUUGACGGUACCUAAUCAGAAAGCCACGGCUAACUACGUG